GAGCCCGAACCUUGGAGUAAAGGGCACCUAGCUGAUAAUUAGGUUGAUGGGGGUUAAAUUCCUCCCGGGCUUU
Molecule: transfer RNA, 73 nt
Filed under: Culcita novaeguineae
Lineage: Eukaryota; Metazoa; Echinodermata; Asteroidea; Valvatida; Oreasteridae
Description: tRNA-Ile
Rfam family: tRNA
About the family: Transfer RNA (tRNA) molecules are approximately 80 nucleotides in length.
Source: RNAcentral